Molecule: ribosomal RNA, 341 nt
Filed under: uncultured bacterium
Lineage: Bacteria
Description: partial 16S ribosomal RNA
Rfam family: Bacterial small subunit ribosomal RNA
Source: RNAcentral
CCUACGUGUGGCAGCAGUGGGGAAUAUUGCACAAUGGGGGAAACCCUGAUGCAGCGACGCCGCGUGGGUGAAGAAGUAAUUCGGUAUGUAAAGCUCUAUCAGCGGGGAAGAAAAUGACGGUACCAGAGUAAGAAGACCCGGCUAACUACGUGCCAGCAGCCGCGGUAAUACGUAGGGGGCAAGCGUUAUCCGGAUUGACUGGGUGUAAAGGGAGCGUAGACGGCAGUGCAAGUCUGGAGUGAAAGGCGGGGGCUCAACCCCCGGACUGCUCUGGAAACUGUACGGCUGGAGUGCAGGAGAGGUAAGUGGAAUUCCUAGUGUAGCGGUGAAAUGCGUAGAUA